RNAcentral lists this ribosomal RNA (389 nucleotides) under uncultured Pelagococcus. RNAcentral's name for it is "SSU rRNA". It matches the Rfam family "Eukaryotic small subunit ribosomal RNA", at positions 587 to 975 of the family's 1831-position model. The record is from RNAcentral. Lineage: Eukaryota; Pelagophyceae; Pelagomonadales.
AGCUCCAAUAGCGUAUAUUAAUGUUGUUGCAGUUAAAAAGCUCGUAGUUGGAUUCCUGGCCUGGGGUAGCCGGUCCGCCUUGCAAAAGGUGCGCACUGUGCGGCCUCGGCCAUCCUUGAGAAGAGCUGUUCUGGCAUUCAGUUGUCGGGGCGGGGAUUCUCGACGUUUACUGUGAAAAAAUCAGAGUGUUCAAAGCAGGCUUACGCCUUGAAUACAUUAGCAUGGAAUAAUGAGAUAGGACCUUGGCGGUCUAUUUUGUUGGUUUGCACGCCGAGGUAAUGAUUAAAAGGGACGGUUGGGGUUCUUCGUAUUCAAUUGUCAGAGGUGAAAUUCUUGGAUUUAUGGAAGACGAACUGCUGCGAAAGCGUCGAACAAGGACGUUCUCAUUA